RNAcentral lists this ribosomal RNA (253 nucleotides) under uncultured Turicibacter sp. Its description in RNAcentral is "partial 16S ribosomal RNA". It matches the Rfam family "Bacterial small subunit ribosomal RNA", at positions 524 to 776 of the family's 1533-position model. The record is from RNAcentral. Lineage: Bacteria; Bacillati; Bacillota; Erysipelotrichia; Erysipelotrichales; Turicibacteraceae.
UACGUAGGUGGCAAGCGUUAUCCGGAAUUAUUGGGCGUAAAGAGCGCGCAGGUGGUUAAUUAAGUCUGAUGUGAAAGCCCACGGCUUAACCGUGGAGGGUCAUUGGAAACUGGUUGACUGGAGAGCAGGAGAGGGCGGUGGAACUCCAUGUGUAGCGGUAAAAUGCGUAGAUAUAUGGAAGAACACCAGUGGCGAAGGCGGCCGCCUGGCCUGUUGCUGACGCUGAGGCACGAAAGCGUGGGGAGCAAAUAGG